GAAAGCAGAAGCUGGUGAAGCCACGGUAGCUGAAGAAGACAAUGCAGCAGAAGUUAUAGCUGCCACAAGUGAACAGGAAUCUGAUGAAGAGAAGGCUGUGGAAGCAGGGACAACCGAAGAUGUGGAAGAAACUGCUGCUGAAGAUGAUUCUGUAGAAGGCAAGGAUGCCACCACGCAUGAUGAUGAAAUUACAGGGGAGAACGAUGACACAACCGAAGCUGACGAACUGUCCAAAGAACCAUCCGAAGGAGCAGCAACUGAAGAUGAGGUGUCUUCUGGUGAGGAGGAAAUCAGUAAAGCUGAUAAUGAAUUAAAUGAAGACGAGGCUGAAGAAACCACAAGUGGAGAAGAACUUGUGGAAAAGGAUGAUAAUGAGGAAGCUGAUCUUGAAUCUGCAAGAGAUGAAAGCUCUGAAGCUGGGACUGAAAAUGAAUCGGAGGAAGAGGGCGAUGAAUCCGUAAACAACGCAACAACAGAUGCAAAUGAGACCGCAGGAGAAGAGGAUUCUUUAACAAAUGUGACAAAUGAUAAUGAAUCAGGGGAAGAGAAUUCAGAAGCCAAGCCUGAAAAUGACACUGCAGAUGAAAAGGCAGAAGAGGAUAAAGUGGCUACGGAUGAAAAUGGGACUUUAAGUGAGGCAGAACAUGGGGAAGAGGCAUCAGAUGAAGAGCUCCAUGACACAGGAGCAUCUGAAGAAAUUGAAGAGAGCAGUGCUGUUGAAGAUUUUGUUCAAGAAGAAAAUACAGGUGAGGGAGAAGAUAAUACAUCUCACAAUGAGGAACUAGAAGAAGGUGAAAGAACUGGGGAGGAAUCAGAAGAGGCUGAAAAUGAUGGGGAGGAAUCUGCUGAAAAUGAAAGUGCUAGGGAGUCUGGAGCAACGGAUGAAGACUACACAGAAGCUGCAACAACAGGAGAUGAGAUUGAGGAAACAGCAGAGUCUGAAAUGACAGGGAAGAAUGACAUUACUGAAAGUGACGGCAAAGAAGUAUGUGGAGAAGAAGGUGUAUCUGCAGGAGGGGAGGAUGGAGAAGGCCAAACAGGAAGUGAUAGCAUAGAAGAUGAAUCUGCAGAACAGCAACUCGCAGAAGGAGAAGAACAAAGUGACAUGACUAAAGAGCAUCGAGAAGAUGCCAUCACCGAGGCAAAUGAUGAAACAGAAGGGCCUGAUGAUGUGGUGGAGUUGAAACCAGAUGAGGAUGUGGAGGAAAUAUCAGAAAAAAACGAAGAAAACAAACCAGUGGAAGAUGAAGAUGAAGAUAAUGAUGAACAAGAAACAAAUGUAACACAAUGUGAAUGCAUUAACAUCCCAAAUGGAAGCUAUGAUAACGAUGAAGACGUCGAAGGCUCUGAGAGAGUAAAUAAAGACUGGAAAGGAAACCAGGGAGAUUCAGCUGACGGAGAAGAUGAAGCAGAGGAUUAUUCCGACGAAGCAGAGGAAGCAACUGAUUGUGGAGAACAAGAUUUUGUUCGAAGUAAGACAGAUAAUCGAGAGGCAGCUCCAAGAGCAGCUGAGAAAAAUACAUUAAUCACACUUGAUGCUUUGAUCCAACUGAAUGCAGAAUCUGAAGAUGGCGCUUAUGCUGAUAUUGAAGAUUCUGAGACUUAAAUAAACAGCCGAGAAGAAGUUACAAGCCUUGAGACAAAGACUUUGAAAAGUAGUUCAUCAUAAAUCGACUGUGACUCUGCAAAAGCUUGCGGG
Long non-coding RNA from Cottoperca gobio, 1699 nucleotides. Lineage: Eukaryota; Metazoa; Chordata; Actinopteri; Perciformes; Bovichtidae. The record is from Ensembl.